This 31-nucleotide non-coding RNA is filed under the name Mus musculus (house mouse). The record is from RNAcentral. Lineage: Eukaryota; Metazoa; Chordata; Mammalia; Rodentia; Muridae.
UCCAAAACAUUGCUUCCUUGAAGAAUAUCUU